Molecule: ribosomal RNA, 791 nt
Filed under: uncultured bacterium
Lineage: Bacteria
Description: bacterial SSU rRNA
Rfam family: Bacterial small subunit ribosomal RNA
Source: RNAcentral
AGAGUUUGAUCAUGGCUCAGAUUGAACGCUGGCGGCAUGCCUUACACAUGCAAGUCGAGCGGCAGCGCGGGGGCAACCCUGGCGGCGAGCGGCGAACGGGUGAGUAAUACAUCGGAACGUGUCCUUUCGUGGGGGAUAACCAGUCGAAAGACUGGCUAAUACCGCAUGAGAUCUCACGAUGAAAGCGAGGGACCGCAAGGCCUCGCGCGAUUGGAGCGGCCGAUGUCGGAUUAGCUAGUUGGCGGGGUAAAAGCCCACCAAGGCGACGAUCCGUAGCUGGUUUGAGAGAACGACCAGCCACACUGGGACUGAGACACGGCCCAGACUCCUACGGGAGGCAGCAGUGGGGAAUUUUGGACAAUGGGCGCAAGCCUGAUCCAGCCAUGCCGCGUGUGUGAAGAAGGCCUUCGGGUUGUAAAGCACUUUCGGCCGGAACGAAAUCGCGCGGGUUAACAGUCCGCGUGGAUGACGGUACCGGAAGAAGAAGCACCGGCUAACUACGUGCCAGCAGCCGCGGUAAUACGUAGGGUGCGAGCGUUAAUCGGAAUUACUGGGCGUAAAGGGUGCGCAGGCGGCGUCGCAAGUCAGGCGUGAAAUCCCCGGGCUUAACCUGGGAACUGCACUUGAAACUACGAUGCUGGAGUAUGGCAGAGGGAGGUGGAAUUCCACGUAGCGGUGAAAUGCGUAGAGAUGUGGAGGAACACCGAUGGCGAAGGCAGCCUCCUGGGCCAAUACUGACGCUCAUGCACGAAAGCGUGGGGAGCAAACAGGAUUAGAUACCCUAGUAGUCC